Molecule: ribosomal RNA, 468 nt
Filed under: uncultured bacterium
Lineage: Bacteria
Description: partial 16S ribosomal RNA
Rfam family: Bacterial small subunit ribosomal RNA
Source: RNAcentral
GACGAACGCUGGCGGCGUGCUUAACACAUGCAAGUCGAACGGAGAGGCCCUGCUUUUGUGGGGUGCUCGAGUGGCGAGCGGGUGAGUAACACGUGAGUAACCUGCCCUUGACUUUGGGAUAACUUCAGGAAACUGGGGCUAAUACCGGAUAGGAGCUCCUGCUGCAUGGUGGGGGUUGGAAAGUUUCGGCGGUUGGGGAUGGACUCGCGGCUUAUCAGCUUGUUGGUGGGGUAGUGGCUUACCAAGGCUUUGACGGGUAGCCGGCCUGAGAGGGUGACCGGCCACAUUGGGACUGAGAUACGGCCCAGACUCCUACGGGAGGCAGCAGUGGGGAAUAUUGCACAAUGGGCGGAAGCCUGAUGCAGCAACGCCGCGUGCGGGAUGACGGCCUUCGGGUUGUAAACCGCUUUCGCCUGUGACGAAGCGUGAGUGACGGUAAUGGGUAAAGAAGCACCGGCUAACUACGUG